GUUGACCUCGGAUCAGGUAGGGAUACCCGCUGAACUUAAGCAUAUCAAUAAGCGGAGGAAAAGAAACCAACAGGGAUUGCCCCAGUAACGGCGAGUGAAGCGGCAACAGCUCAAAUUUGAAAUCUGGCCCCGUUCCGGGGUCCGAGUUGUAAUUUGUAGAGGAUGCUUUCGGGCCSGSCCACGGUCUAAUUUGCUUGGAACAGCAGGUCAGAGAGGGUGAGAGUCCCGUCUGGGRAUCGCAGGCCGWUGUCCAUGUGAAGCUCCUUCGACGAAGUCGAGUUGUUUGGGAAUGCAGCUCUAAAUGGGUGGUAAAUUUCAUCUAAAGCUAAAUAUUGGCCAGAGACCGAUAGCGCACAAGUAGAGUGAUCGAAAGAUGAAAAGCACUUUGAAAAGAGAGUUAAACAGUAUGUGAAAUUGUUGAAAGGGAAGCGCUUGCAAUCAGACUUGCGGGUGGCGGUUCCCCCAACCUCUCCGGUUGGGCUACUCCGUCAUCUCCAGGCCAGCAUCGGUCUGGGGGKUCGGUUAAAGAUCCCGGGAAUGUACCUACCCUCCGGGGUCGACUUAUAGCCCCGGGGUGCAAUGCGGCCUCCCCGGGACCGAGGAACGCGCUUCGGCUCGGAUGCUGGCGUAAUGGUUUGUAAGCGGCCCGUCUUGAAACACGGACCAAGGAGUCUAACAUCUAUGCGAGUGUUUGGGUGUCAAACCCCUACGCGUAAUGAAAGUGAACGGAGGUAAGAACCCUCCCUCGGGGGGGCGCAUUAUCGACCGAUCCUGAUGUCUUCGGAUGGAUUUGAGUACGAGCAUAGCUGUUGGGACCCGAAAGAUGGUGAACUAUGCCUGAAUAGGGUGAAGCCAGAGGAAACUCUGGUGGAGGCUCGCAGCGGUUCUGACGUGCAAAUCGAUCGUCAAAUUUGGGCAUAGGGGCGAAAGACUAAUCGAACMAUCUGUAGCUGUUC
This 956-nucleotide ribosomal RNA is filed under the name Sporodictyon cruentum. RNAcentral describes it as "eukaryotic LSU rRNA". It matches the Rfam family "Eukaryotic large subunit ribosomal RNA", at positions 1 to 957 of the family's 3401-position model. Lineage: Eukaryota; Fungi; Ascomycota; Eurotiomycetes; Verrucariales; Verrucariaceae. The record is from RNAcentral.